CCUACGGGUGGCAGCAGUGAGGAAUAUUGGUCAAUGGCCGGAAGGCUGAACCAGCCAAGCCGCGUGAAGGACGAAGGUGCCAAGCAUUGUAAACUUCUUUUGUCAAGGGACAAAAUCAGGCUCGAGAGCCUGACCGAGGGUACUUGAAGAAAAAGCAUCGGCUAACUCCGUGCCAGCAGCCGCGGUAAUACGGAGGAUGCGAGCGUUAUCCGGAUUUAUUGGGUUUAAAGGGUGCGUAGGCGGACUGUUAAGUCAGCGGUAAAAGCCCGGGGCUCAACCCCGGCGAGCCGUUGAAACUGGCUGUCUUGAGAUGUCGAGAGGUAUGCGGAAUGCGCAGUGUAGCGGUGAAAUGCUUAGAUAUCACGAAGAACCCCGAUUGCGAAGGCAGCUUACUAAACUGUGACUGACAUUGAUGCUCGAAAGUGUGGGUAUCAAACAGGAUUAGAUACCCGUGUAGUC
RNAcentral lists this ribosomal RNA (459 nucleotides) under uncultured bacterium. RNAcentral describes it as "partial 16S ribosomal RNA". It matches the Rfam family "Bacterial small subunit ribosomal RNA", at positions 338 to 795 of the family's 1533-position model. The record is from RNAcentral.